UACAGAGGUCCCGAGCGUUAGGCGGAAUCACUGGGCUUAAAGCGUGUGUAGGCGGAUGCCUAAGUACCUUGUGAAAUCCCACGGCUCACCCGUGGAACUGCUUGGUAUACUGGGUGUCUUGAGCCACUUAGGGGCUACCGGAACAAAUGGUGGAGCGGUGAAAUGCGUAGAUAUCAUGUGGAACGCCAAUGGUGAAAACAGGUAGCUGGGAGUGUGCUGACGCUGAGACACGAAAGCCAGGGGAGCAAACGGG
This 253-nucleotide ribosomal RNA is filed under the name uncultured bacterium. RNAcentral's name for it is "partial 16S ribosomal RNA". It matches the Rfam family "Bacterial small subunit ribosomal RNA", at positions 524 to 776 of the family's 1533-position model. The record is from RNAcentral.